UACGGAGGGUGCGAGCGUUGUCCGGAAUCACUGGGCGUAAAGCGCACGUAGGCGGAUCGUUAAGUCGGGGGUGAAAUCCUGGAGCUCAACUCCAGAACUGCCUUCGAUACUGGCGAUCUUGAGUCCGGAAGAGGUGAGUGGAAUUCCUAGUGUAGAGGUGGAAUUCGUAGAUAUUAGGAAGAACACCAGUGGCGAAGGCGGCUCACUGGUCCGGUACUGACGCUGAGGUGCGAAAGCGUGGGGAGCAAACAGG
Molecule: ribosomal RNA, 253 nt
Filed under: uncultured bacterium
Lineage: Bacteria
Description: partial 16S ribosomal RNA
Rfam family: Bacterial small subunit ribosomal RNA
Source: RNAcentral